Molecule: ribosomal RNA, 468 nt
Filed under: uncultured bacterium
Lineage: Bacteria
Description: partial 16S ribosomal RNA
Rfam family: Bacterial small subunit ribosomal RNA
Source: RNAcentral
GACGAACGCUGGCGGCGUGCUUAACACAUGCAAGUCGAACGGAAAGGCCCUGCUCUUGUGGGGUGCUCGAGUGGCGAACGGGUGAGUAACACGCGAGUAACCUGCCCUUGACUUUGGGAUAACUUCAGGAAACUGGGGCUAAUACCGGAUAGGAGCUCCUGCUGCAUGGUGGGGGUUGGAAAGUUUCGGCGGUUGGGGAUGGACUCGCGGCUUAUCAGCUUGUUGGUGGGGUAGUGGCUUACCAAGGCUUUGACGGGUAGCCGGCCUGAGAGGGUGACCGGCCACAUUGGGACUGCGAUACGGCCCAGACUCCUACGGGAGGCAGCAGUGGGGAAUAUUGCACAAUGGCCGGAAGCCUGAUGCAGCAACGCCGCGUGCGGGAUGACGGCCUUCGGGUUGUAAACCGCUUUCGCCUGUGACGAGGCGUGAGUGACGGUAAUGGGUAAAGAAGCACCGGCUAACUACGUG